This 388-nucleotide ribosomal RNA is filed under the name uncultured bacterium. RNAcentral describes it as "bacterial SSU rRNA". It matches the Rfam family "Bacterial small subunit ribosomal RNA", at positions 30 to 420 of the family's 1533-position model. The record is from RNAcentral.
AUUGAACGCUGGCGGCAUGCCUUACACAUGCAAGUCGAACGGCAGCGGGCCUUCGGGUGCCGGCGAGUGGCGAACGGGUGAGUAAUGCAUCGGAACGUGCCAUUGAGUGGGGGAUAACGUAGCGAAAGUUACGCUAAUACCGCAUAUUCUGUGAGCAGGAAAGCAGGGGACCGCAAGGCCUUGCGCUCUUUGAGCGGCCGAUGUCAGAUUAGCUAGUUGGUGAGGUAAAGGCUUACCAAGGCGACGAUCUGUAGCGGGUCUGAGAGGAUGAUCCGCCACACUGGAACUGAGACACGGUCCAGACUCCUACGGGAGGCAGCAGUGGGGAAUUUUGGACAAUGGGCGCAAGCCUGAUCCAGCCAUGCCGCGUGAGUGAAGAAGGCCUCGG